RNAcentral lists this ribosomal RNA (460 nucleotides) under uncultured bacterium. RNAcentral's name for it is "partial 16S ribosomal RNA". It matches the Rfam family "Bacterial small subunit ribosomal RNA", at positions 338 to 795 of the family's 1533-position model. The record is from RNAcentral.
CCUACGAGGCGCAGCAGUGAGGAAUAUUGGUCAAUGGACGCGAGUCUGAACCAGCCAAGUAGCGUGAAGGAUGACUGCCCUCUGGGUUGUAAACUUCUUUUAUAAAGGAAUAAAACGAGGCACGUGUGCCUUUUUGCAUGUACUUUAUGAAUAAGGAUCGGCUAACUCCGUGCCAUCAGCCGCGGUCAUACGGAUGUUCCGAUCGUUAUCCGGAUUUAUUGGGUUUAAAGGGAACGUAGAUGGGUUGUUAAGUCAGUUGUGAAAGUUUGCGGCUCAACCGUAAAAUUGCAAUUGAUACUGGCAGUCUUGAGUACAGUUGAGGUAGGCGGAAUUCGUGGUGUAGCGGUGAAAUGCUUAGAUAUCACGAAGAACCCCGAUUGCGAAGGCAGCUUACUAAACUGUGACUGACAUUGAUGCUCGAAAGUGUGGGUAUCAAACAGGAUGAGAUACCCGAGUAGUC